AGUGGGAUAGCUGGGUCAAAUGGUGGUUCCAUUCCAACUUUUCUAAGGAAUCUCCAUAUUGCUUUAUAGAUUGGUUGUACCAAUUUGUAGUCCUACCAGCAAU
Molecule: microRNA precursor, 103 nt
Filed under: Marmota monax (woodchuck)
Lineage: Eukaryota; Metazoa; Chordata; Mammalia; Rodentia; Sciuridae
Source: RNAcentral